This 91-nucleotide transfer RNA is filed under the name Marasmius oreades (fairy-ring Marasmius). It matches the Rfam family "tRNA". From Rfam's summary of the family: Transfer RNA (tRNA) molecules are approximately 80 nucleotides in length. Their secondary structure includes four short double-helical elements and three loops (D, anti-codon, and T loops). The record is from Rfam by way of RNAcentral. Lineage: Eukaryota; Fungi; Basidiomycota; Agaricomycetes; Agaricales; Marasmiaceae.
GGGCGUUUAGCGCAGUGGUAGCGCGUAUGCUUUGCAAAUCCUUUCGGGUUGAAUAUGUAUAAGGUCCAGGGUUCAAUCCCCUGAACGUCCA